RNAcentral lists this ribosomal RNA (1744 nucleotides) under Pinus taeda (loblolly pine). Its description in RNAcentral is "SSU rRNA". It matches the Rfam family "Eukaryotic small subunit ribosomal RNA", at positions 3 to 1416 of the family's 1831-position model. The record is from RNAcentral. Lineage: Eukaryota; Viridiplantae; Streptophyta; Pinopsida; Pinales; Pinaceae.
CCUGGUUGAUCCUGCCAGUAGUCAUAUGCCUGUCUCAAAGAUUAAGCCAUGCAUGUCUAAGUAUGAACUAAUUCAAACUGUGAAACUGCAGAUGGCUCAUUAAAUCAGUUAUCCUUUUUUUGAUGGUACCCUACUACUCAGAUAACUAUAGUAAUUCUAGAGCUAAUACGUGCACCAAGUCCCGACUCUUUGGAAGUGAUGAAUUUUUUAGAUAAAAGGCUAGCGUGGGCUUGACUGCUUCUCCAGUGAAUAAUGAUAACUUGACAGAUCGCAUAGCCCUUGUGUUGGCGAUGCUUAAUUCAAAUUUUUGCCCUAUCAAAUUUCAAUGGUAGGAUAGAGGCCUAACAUGGUGGUGACGAAUGAUGGAGAAUUAGGGUUCAAUUCUAGAGAGGAAUACUGAGAAAUGGUUACCACAUCCAAGGAAGGCAGCAGGCGUGCAAAUGACCCAAUCCUGACAUGGGGAGGUAGUGACAAUAAAUAACAAUACUAGGCCAUCGAGUUUGGUAAUUGAAAUGAGUACAAUCUAAAUCCCUUAACGAGGAUCCAUUGGAGGGCAAGUCUAGUGCCAGCAACUGUGGUAAUUCCAGCUCCAAUAGUGUAUAUUUAAGUUGUUUUAGUUAAAAAUCUCAUACUUGGAUCUUGGGUGGUAAAGGUGGGUGCGCUUACUUGGUGCGCACUUGCCCUUCCAUCCCUUUUGUUAGCAGCGUGCUCCUCACCUUUAUUGGUUGGGUCGCAGCUCCAGCGUCGUUACUUUGAAAAUAUUAGAGUGCUUGAAGAAAGCUUAUGCUCUGAAUACAUUAGCAUGGAAUAACAUGAUAGGAGUCUAGUCCUAUUGUGUUGGCCUUCGGGACCGGAGUAAUGAUUAAUAGGGACUAUCGGGGGCAUUCAUAUUUCAUUGUCAAAUGUGAUAUUCUUGGACUUAUCAAAGACAUACCUCUGUGAAAGAUUUUUCCAAGGAUGUUUUCAUUAAUCAAGAAUGAAAUUUGGGGGCUCAAAGACGAUUAGAUACCAUCCUAGUCUCAACCAUAAACGACUCCGACCAAGGAUCGAUAGAUGUUGCUCUAAGGACUAUGCCAACACCUUCUAAGAAAUUAGAGUGUUUGGGUUCUGAGGGGAUUAUGGUCCCAAGGCUAAAAUUAAAGGAAUUGAUGGAAGAGCACCACCAGGAGUGGAGCCCGUGGCUUAAUUUGAGUCAACACAGGGAAACUUACUAGGUCCAGACAUAGUAAGGAUUGACAAAUUGAGAGCUCUUUCUUGAUUCUAUGGUGAAGGCACGGGGUUGGGGCAACAUCUUCUCUAUUUGAGCCUCCCAUUGUGAGCCGGUAGCCACGUUUGAUAUCUCUUUCUUUGAUGUUGUUUUAUUCCAUUCUUCCUUUUGGCCCCUAGCUUUAUGGAGAAAAGGUGGGAUUGUUGUGGAUUGGUGUUCGGGAAGUAUGAAAUGCAGUGCGAUAUCCCGAGGUGGCCGCCCUAGUCCUUCUCGAUCACCAUCCCUUAUAGUUCCCAACUUUUUGCGAAGGCACGGGGUUGGGGAAGCGUGUUCUCUAUUUCAGCCUCCCCUUAUGAGCUGGUAGACAUAUUUGAUAUCUCUUUCUUUGAUGUUGUUUUCUUCCCUUCUUCCUUUUGGACCCUAGAUUUAAGGAGAAUCAAUGCGAUUGUUGUGGAUUCGUGUUCAGGAAAGACGAAACACAGUGCACACUCUCGGGGUGGCCACCCUAGUCCUUCUCUAUUAUGAAACCAACUCACA